CGAGCAGGCAGAACAGCAGCGUGCGCAGCGCCGAAAGGCCGCGCAUGAGGAAAGUCCGGGCUUCACAGGGCGAGGAUAGCUGCUAACGGCAGCCGGAGGCGACUCUAGGGAAAGUGCAACAGAAAAAAACCGCCGUUUGAACGGCAAGGAUGGAAAGGUGAGGUAAGAGCUCACCAGCGUGCGGGAGACCGCGCGGCUGUGUAAACCCUAUCCGAAGCAACACCGCAAAGGGACCGAUACCGCUUGCCCGGCGGGUCCCGUCCAGGUGGCUUGAACCUUUCGGCGACGAAAGGUCUAGAAAGAUUGCUGUUUUAAACAGAACUCGGCUUACAUGCCUGGUCGCAUA
This 346-nucleotide RNase P RNA is filed under the name Oscillospiraceae bacterium. RNAcentral describes it as "RNase P RNA component class A". It matches the Rfam family "Bacterial RNase P class A". Rfam says of the family: Ribonuclease P (RNase P) is a ubiquitous endoribonuclease, found in archaea, bacteria and eukarya as well as chloroplasts and mitochondria. Its best characterised activity is the generation of mature 5'-ends of tRNAs by cleaving the 5'-leader elements of precursor-tRNAs. Cellular RNase Ps are ribonucleoproteins. Lineage: Bacteria; Bacillati; Bacillota; Clostridia; Eubacteriales; Oscillospiraceae. The record is from RNAcentral.